Molecule: non-coding RNA, 701 nt
Organism: Oryzias latipes (Japanese medaka)
Lineage: Eukaryota; Metazoa; Chordata; Actinopteri; Beloniformes; Adrianichthyidae
Source: RefSeq, a predicted model, not a curated record
AGUUUUUGAGCUGUUAAUUUAAGUUAUUUUUUUUCUAAUCAUGCAUUCUCAUAAAAAAGUAAAUUUCUCUGUUACUACGAUACAUUAAGUGUACAUAUUAGUACCGUUUAGCUUUUGUACCUACACAGGAAAAAUGAGAGAGUACUUUUUUCGGAGUUACCAUCAGUAUUUUUUGUCGUAGGUGUAACGUAGAGGAAAUAUGUUGGAGUAAACCAGCGAGACCACGCCCACUCUGCUUUCUUAAGUUUCGUUUCUUCCGCCAUUUUGUUAUCCCGCAGCGGCCGGAGGAAGAUAGAGGCUGUGACUGAGUAAGGAAGCCAGCUACUUUUGAAACGACCAGCUCCAUAAUUCCUACUGAUAUUUAUCAGGUCCGUCGAAUUCAAUGCGUUAAUCAUUUUAAUCUGUAAUGUGUAGGAGUCCAAAAACGUUUUUUUUUACACCGCAGUAUGGCGGUCCUUCCCAUUUAUAUGUCAGCCUGCCGUAGCUGCUGUGCGCGCGCAGCCACCAUUUCUCGAAUGCAAGAUAGUGACAGACUGUUUAGGUUGUCAUGAUCGCUCAUUGUUGGUCAAGCGAAGUUUACACUGUGUUGUUGAUUUUGAACAUUCUCCUGCAGAGAUUAUUUUUUUUAAAUGGAGGUCCGUGAUUCCAGAUACUCGUCACGAUUUCCCAUACCAAAAACUCAUCUAUAAACCAGGAAAAAA